UGGGCUCAGGAUGAACGCUAGCGGCAGGCUUAACACAUGCAAGUCGAGGGGCAGCGGGGAGGAAGCUUGCUUUCUCCGCCGGCGACCGGCGCACGGGUGAGUAACACGUAUGCAACCUGCCCCUGUCAGGGGGACAACCCGCCGAAAGGCGGGCUAAACCCGCGUACGUGCCACCGGGGCAUCCCGGAGGCAGGAAAGGCUUCGGCCGGACAGGGAUGGGCAUGCGGCGCAUUAGGCAGUAGGCGGGGUAACGGCCCACCUAACCGACGAUGCGUAGGGGUUCUGAGAGGAAGGUCCCCCACACUGGUACUGAGACACGGACCAGACUCCUACGGGAGGCAGCAGUGAGGAAUAUUGGUCAAUGGUCGGGAGACUGAACCAGCCAAGCCGCGUGAGGGAGGAAGGUACAGAGUAUCGUAAACCUCUUUUGUCAGGGAACAAAGACUGGGACGCGUCCCCGGAUGAGUGUACCUGAAGAAAAAGCAUCGGCUAACUCCGUGCCAGCAGCCGCGGUAAUACGGAGGAUGCGAGCGUUAUCCGGAUUUAUUGGGUUUAAAGGGUGCGCAGGCGGUCUGUUAAGUCAGCGGUCAAAGCCCGGGGCUCAACCCCGGCCCGCCGUUGAAACUGGCAGUCUCGAGUUGGAGAGAAGUAUGCGGAAUGCGCGGUGUAGCGGUGAAAUGCAUAGAUAUCGCGCAGAACUCCGAUUGCGAAGGCAGCAUGCCGGCUCCACACUGACGCUGAGGCACGAAAGCGUGGGUAUCGAACAGGAUUAGAUACCCUGGUAGUCCACGCAGUAAACGAUGAAUGCUGGCUGUCCGGGGGGACUGACCCCUGGGUGGCGAAGCGAAAGCGAUAAGCAUUCCACCUGGGGAGUACGCCGGCAACGGUGAAACUCAAAGGAAUUGACGGGGGCCCGCACAAGCGGAGGAACAUGUGGUUUAAUUCGAUGAUACGCGAGGAACCUUACCCGGGCUCAAACGGGGAGUGGCGCAGGCAGAGACGCCUGUUUCCCACGGGACACUCCCCGAGGUGCUGCAUGGUUGUCGUCAGCUCGUGCCGUGAGGUGUCGGCUUAAGUGCCAUAACGAGCGCAACCCCCGCGUGUAGUUGCUAACAGUCAACGCUGAGGACUCUGCACGGACUGCCGGCGCAAGCCGCGAGGAAGGCGGGGAUGACGUCAAAUCAGCACGGCCCUUACGUCCGGGGCGACACACGUGUUACAAUGGGUGGUACAGCGGGAAGCCAGGCGGCGACGCCGAGCGGAACCCGAAAUCCACUCUCAGUUCGGAUCGGAGUCUGCAACCCGACUCCGUGAAGCUGGAUUCGCUAGUAAUCGCGCAUCAGCCAUGGCGCGGUGAAUACGUUCCCGGGCCUUGUACACACCGCCCGUCAAGCCAUGGGAGCCGAGGGCGCUUGAAGUGCGUCGCCGCGAGGCGCGCCCUAGAGCGAAAUCGGUGACUGGGGCUAAGUCGUAACAAGG
This 1479-nucleotide ribosomal RNA is filed under the name uncultured bacterium. RNAcentral's name for it is "bacterial SSU rRNA". It matches the Rfam family "Bacterial small subunit ribosomal RNA". The record is from RNAcentral.